AGUCAAUAGAUACCCAGGUAGUCCCAGCUGUAAACGAUGCGCGUUAGGUGUAUCGGUGACCACGAGUCACCGAGGUGCCGAAGGGAAACCGUGAAACGUGCCGCCUGGGAAGUACGGUCGCAAGGCUGAAACUUAAAGGAAUUGGCGGGGGAGCACCACAACAGGUGGAGCCUGCGGUUUAAUCGGACUCAACGCCGGGAAGCUCACCGGAUAAGACAGCUGAAUGAUAGCCGGGUUGAAGACUCUGCUUGACUAGCUGAGAGGAGGUGCAUGGCCGUCGUCAGUUCGUACUGUGAAGCAUCCUGUUAAGUCAGGCAACGAGCGAGACCCAGCCAACAGUUGCCAGCAUGUCCUCCGGGAUGGUGGGGACACUGUUGGGACCGCCUCUGCUAAAGAGGAGGAAGGAAUGGGCAACGGUAGGUCAGCAUGCCCCGAAUUAUCCGGGCUACACGCGGGCUACAAUGGUCAGGACAAUGGGUAUCAACACCGAAAGGUGAAGGCAAUCUCCUAAACCUGUCCUUAGUUCGGAUUGUGGG
This 536-nucleotide ribosomal RNA is filed under the name uncultured bacterium. Its description in RNAcentral is "bacterial SSU rRNA". It matches the Rfam family "Archaeal small subunit ribosomal RNA", at positions 726 to 1260 of the family's 1478-position model. The record is from RNAcentral.